GUUAUAGGAUCAAGCGACUAAGUGCAUAUGGUGGAUGCCUUGGCGAUCACAGGCGAUGAAGGACGUAGUAGCCUGCGAAAAGCUGCGGGGAGCUGGCAAACAAGCUUUGAUCCGCAGAUAUCCGAAUGGGGAAACCCACUCCGUAAGGAGUAUCCCUGACUGAAUACAUAGGUCAGUGGAAGCGAACCGGGUGAACUGAAACAUCUCAGUAGCUCGAGGAAAAGAAAUCAACCGAGAUUCCGAAAGUAGUGGCGAGCGAAAUCGGAAGAGCCUUCACGUUUUAGCAUGCAAGAUAGUCGAACGGAAUGGAAAGUCCGGCCGUAGCAGGUGAUAGCCCUGUAGACGAAAUUUUGUGUGUGGAACUAAGCGUGAGAAAAGUAGGGCGGGACACGUGAAAUCCUGUUUGAAGAUGGGGGGACCAUCCUCCAAGGCUAAAUACUCGUGAUCGACCGAUAGUGAACCAGUACCGUGAGGGAAAGGCGAAAAGAACCCCGGAAGGGGAGUGAAAUAGAUCCUGAAACCGUAUGCAUACAAACAGUAGGAGCCUCCUUGUGGGGUGACUGCGUACCUUUUGUAUAAUGGGUCAGCGACUUACAUUCAGUGGCAAGGUUAACCGAAUAGGGAAGCCGUAGCGAAAGCGAGUCCGAAUAGGGCGAUUCAGUCGCUGGGUGUAGACCCGAAACCAGAUGAUCUAUCCAUGGCCAGGUUGAAGGCACGGUAACACGUGCUGGAGGACCGAACCCACUAAUGUUGAAAAAUUAGGGGAUGAGCUGUGGAUAGGGGUGAAAGGCUAAACAAAUCUGGAAAUAGCUGGUUCUCUCCGAAAACUAUUUAGGUAGUGCCUCAAGUAUUACUGCGGGGGGUAGAGCACUGUUAUAGCUAGGGGGUCAUGGCGACUUACCAAACUAUGGCAAACUCCGAAUACCCGCAAGUACAGCUUGGGAGACAGAGCACCGGGUGCUAACGUCCGGACUCAAGAGGGAAACAACCCAGACCGCCAGCUAAGGUCCCAAAUUAUCGCUAAGUGGGAAACGAAGUGGGAAGGCAUAGACAGUCAGGAGGUUGGCUUAGAAGCAGCCAUCCUUUAAAGAAAGCGUAAUAGCUCACUGAUCGAGUCGUCCUGCGCGGAAGAUGUAACGGGGCUAAGCGAUAAACCGAAGCUGCGGGUGUGCACUUUGUGCACGCGGUAGGAGAGCGUUCUGUAAGCCUGCGAAGGUGGCUUGUAAAGGCUGCUGGAGGUAUCAGAAGUGCGAAUGCUGACAUGAGUAGCGAUAAAGGGGGUGAAAAGCCCCCUCGCCGUAAGUCCAAGGUUUCCUGCGCAACGUUCAUCGGCGCAGGGUGAGUCGGCCCCUAAGGCGAGGCAGAGAUGCGUAGCUGAUGGGAAGCUGGUUAAUAUUCCAGCACCGUCGUACAGUGCGAUGGGGGGACGGAUCGCGGAAGAUCAUCAGGGUGUUGGAUGUCCCUGUUGACGUAUCGAAGAUGGCGCUUAGGCAAAUCCGGGCGCGUAAAUCAAGGGUACGGNNNNNNNNNNNNNNNNNNNNNNNNNNNNNNNNNNNNNNNNNNNNNNNNNNNNNNNNNNNNNNNNNNNNNNNNNNNNNNNNNNNNNNNNNNNNNNUACGGCACGAGCGAGCAUUGCUUGCGAAGUGAUUGGAAGUGGUUCCAAGAAAAGCCUCUAAGCUUCAGCUGUACGAGACCGUACCGCAAACCGACACAGGUGGACGGGAUGAAUAUUCCAAGGCGCUUGAGAGAACUCAGGAGAAGGAACUCGGCAAAUUGAUACCGUAACUUCGGGAGAAGGUAUACCCCGGUAGUGUGAAGCGCCUGCGCGCUUAGCAUGAUGGGGUCGCAGAGAAUCGGUGGCUGCGACUGUUUAUUAAAAACACAGCACUCUGCAAAGACGAAAGUCGACGUAUAGGGUGUGACGCCUGCCCGGUGCCGGAAGGUUAAGUGAUGGGGUGCAAGCUCUUGAUCGAAGCCCCGGUAAACGGCGGCCGUAACUAUAACGGUCCUAAGGUAGCGAAAUUCCUUGUCGGGUAAGUUCCGACCUGCACGAAUGGCGUAACGAUGGCCACACUGUCUCCUCCUGAGACUCAGCGAAGUUGAAGUGUUUGUGAUGAUGCAAUCUACCCGCGGCUAGACGGAAAGACCCCAUGAACCUUUACUGUAGCUUUGCAUUGGACUGUGAACCGGCCUGUGUAGGAUAGGUGGGAGGCUUUGAAGCGUGGUCGCUAGAUCACGUGGAGCCAUCCUUGAAAUACCACCCUGGUUUGUUUGCGGUUCUAACCUUGGUCCGUUAUCCGGAUCGGGGACAGUGCAUGGUGGGCAGUUUGACUGGGGCGGUCUCCUCCCAAAGUGUAACGGAGGAGUUCGAAGGUACGCUAGGUACGGUCGGAAAUCGUGCUGAUAGUGCAAUGGCAUAAGCGUGCUUGACUGUGAGACUGACAAGUCGAACAGGUGCGAAAGCAGGACAUAGUGAUCCGGUGGUUCUGAAUGGAAGGGCCAUCGCUCAACGGAUAAAAGGUACUCUGGGGAUAACAGGCUGAUACCGCCCAAGAGUUCAUAUCGACGGCGGUGUUUGGCACCUCGAUGUCGGCUCAUCUCAUCCUGGGGCUGUAGCCGGUCCCAAGGGUAUGGCUGUUCGCCAUUUAAAGAGGUACGUGAGCUGGGUUUAAAACGUCGUGAGACAGUUUGGUCCCUAUCUGCCGUGGGCGUUGGAUACUUGACGGAGCCUGCUCCUAGUACGAGAGGACCGGAGUGGACGUACCUCUGGUGUACCGGUUGUCAUGCCAAUGGCAUUGCCGGGUAGCUAAGUACGGAAGAGAUAACCGCUGAAGGCAUCUAAGCGGGAAACUCGUCUGAAGAUUAGGUAUCCCGGGGACUUGAUCCCCCUGAAGAGUCGUUCGAGACCAGGACGUUGAUAGGUCGGGUGUGGAAGCGCAGUAAUGCGUUAAGCUAACCGAUACUAAUUGCUCGUGAGGCUUGAUCCUAUAACACUGAUGGUUAUG
RNAcentral lists this ribosomal RNA (3005 nucleotides) under Achromobacter xylosoxidans. RNAcentral's name for it is "23S ribosomal RNA". It matches the Rfam family "Bacterial large subunit ribosomal RNA". The record is from RNAcentral. Lineage: Bacteria; Pseudomonadati; Pseudomonadota; Betaproteobacteria; Burkholderiales; Alcaligenaceae.